UUCUUAUCCAGAGAGACGGAGGGACUGGCCCUGUGAUGUCUCGGCAGCGGACUCAUGAUGAGUGCUGUGCCACAUCCAGCAAGCGUAAUGCUUGAAAGAUAAGAG
This 105-nucleotide non-coding RNA is filed under the name Rossellomorea vietnamensis. RNAcentral describes it as "Bacillus vietnamensis SAM-I sequence". It matches the Rfam family "SAM riboswitch aptamer (S box leader)". From Rfam's summary of the family: The SAM riboswitch is found upstream of a number of genes which code for proteins involved in methionine or cysteine biosynthesis in Gram-positive bacteria. Lineage: Bacteria; Bacillati; Bacillota; Bacilli; Caryophanales; Bacillaceae. The record is from Rfam by way of RNAcentral.